GAUGAACGCUGGCGGCGUGCCUAAUACAUGCAAGUCGAGCGAACGGACGAGAAGCUUGCUUCUCUGAUGUUAGCGGCGGACGGGUGAGUAACACGUGGAUAACCUACCUAUAAGACUGGGAUAACUUCGGGAAACCGGAGCUAAUACCGGAUGAUAUUUUGAACCGCAGGGUUCAAAAGUGAAAGACGGUCUUGCUGGCACUUAUAGAUGGAUCCGCGCUGCAUUAGCUAGUUGGUAAGGUAACGGCUUACCAAGGCAACGAUGCAUAGCCGACCUGAGAGGGUGAUCGGCCACACUGGAACUGAGACACGGUCCAGACUCCUACGGGAGGCAGCAGUAGGGAAUCUUCCGCAGUGGGCGAAAGCCUGACGGAGCAACGCCGCGUGAGUGAUGACGGUCUUCGGAUCGUAAAACUCUGUUAUUAGGGAAGAACAUAUGUGUAAGUAACUGUGCACAUCUUGACGGUACCUAGUCAGAAAGCCACGGCUAACUACGUG
This 497-nucleotide ribosomal RNA is filed under the name uncultured bacterium. RNAcentral's name for it is "partial 16S ribosomal RNA". It matches the Rfam family "Bacterial small subunit ribosomal RNA", at positions 28 to 507 of the family's 1533-position model. The record is from RNAcentral.